This 242-nucleotide ribosomal RNA is filed under the name uncultured bacterium. Its description in RNAcentral is "partial 16S ribosomal RNA". It matches the Rfam family "Bacterial small subunit ribosomal RNA", at positions 524 to 766 of the family's 1533-position model. The record is from RNAcentral.
GACGAACCGUGCAAACGUUGUUCGGAAUCACUGGCUUAAAGGGCGCGUAGGCGGGCCAGACAGUCUGUGGUGAAAGCCUCCAGCUCAACUGGAGAAGUGCCGUGGAUACUGCUGGUCUCGAGGAGGGUAGGGGCAUCUGGAACAGUAGGUGGAGCGGUGAAAUGCGUUGAUAUCUACUGGAACUCCGAUGGCGAAGGCAAGGUGCUGGACCCUUUCUGACGCUGAGGCGCGAAGCCAGGGAG